UUGGGCUGUUCUGCCCUGGGCUUUGUAGCAAAGGGAAGAUGUGAAGGCCAGAGGUAAACACUAAUUUCCUAUUGACACAACAUUAAUUCUCCGGCUCGGACAGGUGAAUGUGCUUUCACUCACUUUACCAAGAUUAAUGAGGUUUGUCUGCCUGCUGAGAGAGGCCUCAGGAGGGACUCUGAGCGCAUGCCCUCUGGGCUGGCCGUGGGGAAAGAGGCUGGCAGACGCACGGAAGAAGACCAGUCUCUCCCCCCACUUCCAACGUCAUCGUCCCUGUUCAGUUAACCUGCAGCUUGGCCACAGACCCUUCUGCCCCAGCUGUUUCCACCUUGGCAUGUGACGGUCCAGCCAGUGCAGUAUGAGAGCUGAAAGCCCAACCCUGCCUUCUUUUCCAGAACAUACCAACGUGGUUUAGCAAAUUCAUUAGUGCAGAGUUUCUCCCAAGAGCCCUUGGAGGUUUGAUUACAUGAGACCUUCCCAUAAGUGUCACCGCCAGGGGCUGGUGCACGUGGCAGCAGGAGGCCUGCAGGGUCCUGCCCUCUCUCCUCUGUCAUCGGAGAGAAGAUCCAGACCCUUUGCCGCUUUGCUUCCACGCCGCCGGCAGCCUUCCCUUGGUCACUGGGAGAGGAGAGAAAGCUACGGAACCGUAGGUCAUCCGUGAACAACUCCAAAGCAGGCAGGGAGGGCCAAAACGUGGAUUUAAAUCCAGCUGGGCUUCUGCAAUCACUGUUCGUCAAACCUGCCCAUUACCAUGCCCCAGGGCACUUGUCAGCCGGGAGCAUUCCAGGCCCGCAGCCCGCCCAACUGAGUGGGGAGGUCCCAGAAGGGCCCUGGGAAUCUGUGUCUGACAAGCCCUGUCUGUCGUCAGGCAAGCCUGGGAAACUGCCUAAGUGAAUACCUUCUCUGGCUGUGCCGUGGCUGCUCCAUCCAGGGACGCUGGCGGUCAACCAUAAAGCAGAAACCACACGCAGGAAAAUGCUCUUUGCUGUCAUUGUGCACCACAACGUGUGUGCUCAUUGACUAGAGGACUCCAUCUGGUCUUCUGUGUCCUGAAGGCAAAGCGCUUUCAGAUCUUUGCACAACGGGCAGUAGACACCGCCCUGGAAUUAGACUUGGGAGAGAAGGAGGUCUCUUCAGUGCUCCAAGCCUCAGUUUCCUCUUAUCCCAGUUGGGGCUAAAACCUGAUGGCCAAUCUGUCUGAGAAGCAAAUGAAGUAAGUGGUUGAGGUGCUGUGGGGAGCACAGCCUUACUGUUUCAGUGGGGAUGUGGCCAUGCUUUCCAGUCGCACCCUGGAUUCUGGGUCUCAGCGGGUGCACACACAGUGAUUCUGACUGAGGAAGCUUGUCUCUGUUCUAGCGCCUUCUUACAUGUGGAAGGAUGUGAUGCUUUUGGUGACAUGUGGUGGGGUGGGGUCACCCGCCAAGUGCGUUUUUGCUAGUGCACGUUGUCAUUAACUAAACGCUCUCUCAGUCUGAACCUCUGCCUCCUGCGGCCCCGCCAUGCCCUGUGAAGACCUUCCUUAGAGCACCACUGGCACUGCAUCCCUUCCUUUCUAGGCAGCCAGUCUCCUUCGAGACUUUGAGCAUCAGGAGGCGAGGGAGGUGGUCCCACGUCUGUAUUCCCAACAACGAGCACAGUGCCAGGCAAAAAGCAGACCUCAGAUGGCGGCUGCGUGCAUUUAAAUUGAUAAGAUAUGUGAUCGGAAUUUUCUUUAUAGCUGUUCAAAGCCCAGACUUAGUUCACAUGGGCAUUCUCUCUCUCCCCUUAUACGGCGGUUAAGAGAGGGGGCUCCAGGGGCCGGCCCGUGGCCGAGUGGUUAAGUUCGCGCGCUCUGCUUUGGCUGCCCAGGGUUUCACCGAUUCGGAUCCUGGGUGUGGACAUGGCCCCGGUCAUCAGGCCGUGCUGAGGCGGUGUCCCACACAGCACAACCAGAGGGACCUACAACUAGAAUAUACAACUAUGUACUGGGGGGCUUUGGACAGAAGAAGAAAAGAAAAAGGUCUCCAGAGUCAGCGUGAUGGGGUUAAGAUGGACAAGUU
Molecule: long non-coding RNA, 2039 nt
Filed under: Equus caballus (horse)
Lineage: Eukaryota; Metazoa; Chordata; Mammalia; Perissodactyla; Equidae
Description: lncRNA (ENSECAG00000045977.1)
Source: RNAcentral